This 523-nucleotide ribosomal RNA is filed under the name uncultured bacterium. Its description in RNAcentral is "bacterial SSU rRNA". It matches the Rfam family "Bacterial small subunit ribosomal RNA", at positions 777 to 1297 of the family's 1533-position model. The record is from RNAcentral.
AAUAGAUACCCUGGUAGUCCACGCCGUAAACGAUGAGUGCUAAGUGUUAGAGGGUUUCCGCCCUUUAGUGCUGCAGCUAACGCAUUAAGCACUCCGCCUGGGGAGUACGGCCGCAAGGCUGAAACUCAAAGGAAUUGACGGGGGCCCGCACAAGCGGUGGAGCAUGUGGUUUAAUUCGAAGCAACGCGAAGAACCUUACCAGGUCUUGACAUCCUCUGCCAACCCUAGAGAUAGGGCGUUCCCCCUUCGGGGGACAGAGUGACAGGUGGUGCAUGGUUGUCGUCAGCUCGUGUCGUGAGAUGUUGGGUUAAGUCCCGCAACGAGCGCAACCCUUGAUCUUAGUUGCCAGCAUUUAGUUGGGCACUCUAAGGUGACUGCCGGUGACAAACCGGAGGAAGGUGGGGAUGACGUCAAAUCAUCAUGCCCCUUAUGACCUGGGCUACACACGUGCUACAAUGGAUGGUACAAAGAGCUGCGAACCCGCGAGGGUAAGCGAAUCUCAUAAAGCCAUUCUCAGUUCGGA